AGUGAACGCUGGCGGUAGGCCUAACACAUGCAAGUCGAACGGCAGCACAGUAAGAGCUUGCUCUUACGGGUGGCGAGUGGCGGACGGGUGAGGAAUACAUCGGAAUCUACUUUUUCGUGGGGGAUAACGUAGGGAAACUUACGCUAAUACCGCAUACGACCUACGGGUGAAAGCAGGGGAUCUUCGGACCUUGCGCGAUUGAAUGAGCCGAUGUCGGAUUAGCUAGUUGGCGGGGUAAAGGCCCACCAAGGCGACGAUCCGUAGCUGGUCUGAGAGGAUGAUCAGCCACACUGGAACUGAGACAGGGUCCAGACUCCUACGGGAGGCAGCAGUGGGGAAUAUUGGACAAUGGGCGCAAGCCUGAUCCAGCCAUACCGCGUGGGUGAAGAAGGCCUUCGGGUUGUAAAGCCCUUUUGUUGGGAAAGAAAAGCAGCAGGUUAAUACCCAGCUGUUCUGACGGUACCCAAAGAAUAAGCACCGGCUAACUUCGUG
RNAcentral lists this ribosomal RNA (492 nucleotides) under uncultured bacterium. Its description in RNAcentral is "partial 16S ribosomal RNA". It matches the Rfam family "Bacterial small subunit ribosomal RNA", at positions 29 to 507 of the family's 1533-position model. The record is from RNAcentral.